CUCCCAAACCCAAUGUGAACGUUACCAAACUGUUGCCUCGGCGGGAUCUCUGCCCCGGGUGCGUCGCAGCCCCGGACCAAGGCGCCCGCCGGAGGACCAACCAAAACUCUUAUUGUAUACCCCCUCGCGGGUUUUUUUAUAAUCUGAGCCUUCUCGGCGCCUCUCGUAGGCGUUUCGAAAAUGAAUCAAAACUUUCAACAACGGAUCUCUUGGUUCUGGCAUCGAUGAAGAACGCAGCGAAAUGCGAUAAGUAAUGUGAAUUGCAGAAUUCAGUGAAUCAUCGAAUCUUUGAACGCACAUUGCGCCCGCCAGUAUUCUGGCGGGCAUGCCUGUCCGAGCGUCAUUUCAACCCUCGAACCCCUCCGGGGGGUCGGCGUUGGGGAUCGGCCCUCCCUUAGCGGGUGGCCGUCUCCGAAAUACAGUGGCGGUCUCGCCGCAGCCUCUCCUGCGCAGUAGUUUGCACACUCGCAUCGGGAGCGCGGCGCGUCCACAGCCGUUAAACACCCAACUUCUGAAAUGUUGACCUCGGAUCAGGUAGGAAUA
Molecule: ribosomal RNA, 543 nt
Filed under: fungal endophyte
Lineage: Eukaryota; Fungi
Description: eukaryotic LSU rRNA
Rfam family: 5.8S ribosomal RNA (bases 190-343)
Source: RNAcentral